Hibiscus syriacus is the source of this 383-nucleotide long non-coding RNA. RefSeq lists it as uncharacterized. Lineage: Eukaryota; Viridiplantae; Streptophyta; Magnoliopsida; Malvales; Malvaceae. The record is from RefSeq and is a predicted model, not a curated record. The transcript has 2 exons.
UGUUUCGCAAAACUAAAGUACACUUUGGUGGCUCAUAAACCUCAACGGUGCACGCCUUGCCUCUAUUCUUCUAUUUCUCAAAUGAUCACGGGGGCCGUGACGAUUCUAUCAGAAAGGUCUCGUUCGUCGUAAAUGGCUGUUUUCAAAGGCCUUUGCCGACCAUCCUGGUAUAUCACCACCCAUAAUUCCGAGUCCCCUCUUUCUCUCUUUUUUCAAUUUUAUGAUUAUUUUAUAUAUACAUGUUUUGAAUCGUUACAGCUAUUGAUGUUGGUUCAAAAUCGGCCGAUGAUUAAAUAUUUUUAAUGACAAGCAUAUGUCUGAAAUAUUUCCUGUUCAAAUGACUAAUCUUCUCUACGAGGCUGAAUAAAUUAAUUUUGAUCUGU